This 437-nucleotide ribosomal RNA is filed under the name Endomicrobium sp. RNAcentral describes it as "bacterial SSU rRNA". It matches the Rfam family "Bacterial small subunit ribosomal RNA", at positions 341 to 792 of the family's 1533-position model. Lineage: Bacteria; Pseudomonadati; Elusimicrobiota; Endomicrobiia; Endomicrobiales; Endomicrobiaceae. The record is from RNAcentral.
ACGGAAGGCAGCAGUGGGGAAUUUUGGACAAUGGGGGGAACCCUGAUCCAGCGACGCCGCGUGGAGGAUGAAGGUUUUAGGAUUGUAAACUCCUUUUGGAGGGGAAGAAGAAAGUGACGGUACCCUCAGAAAAAGCCACGGCUAACUUCGUGCCAGCAGCCGCGGUAAUACGAAGGUGGCGAGCGUUACUCGGAAUUACUAGGCGUAAAGCGUAUGUAGGUGGUUGGAUAAGUCUGUGGUGAAAUUUCCUGGCUUAACUGGGAAGGGAACAUAGAAACUGUCCGGCUUGAGUAUGUGAGGGGGAGACGGAAUUCCUGGUGUAGCGGUGAAAUGCGUAGAUAUCAGGAGGAACACCGAUGGCGAAAGCAGUUUCCUGGCACAAGACUGACACUGAGGUACGAAAGCUAGGGUAGCAAACAGGAUUAGAUACCCUGGUA